This 1043-nucleotide ribosomal RNA is filed under the name Salmonella enterica subsp. enterica serovar Abony. RNAcentral describes it as "partial 23S ribosomal RNA". It matches the Rfam family "Bacterial large subunit ribosomal RNA", at positions 1213 to 2238 of the family's 2925-position model. Lineage: Bacteria; Pseudomonadati; Pseudomonadota; Gammaproteobacteria; Enterobacterales; Enterobacteriaceae. The record is from RNAcentral.
CUUAUGCGUUGUUGGGUAGGGGAGCGUUCUGUAAGCCUGUGAAGGUGUGUCGUGAGGCAUGCUGGAGGUAUCAGAAGUGCGAAUGCUGACAUAAGUAACGAUAAAGCGGGUGAAAAGCCCGCUCGCCGGAAGACCAAGGGUUCCUGUCCAACGUUAAUCGGGGCAGGGUGAGUCGACCCCUAAGGCGAGGCCGAAAGGCGUAGUCGAUGGGAAACGGGUUAAUAUUCCCGUACUUGGUGUUACUGCGAAGGGGGGACGGAGAAGGCUAUGUUGGCCGGGCGACGGUUGUCCCGGUUUAAGCGUGUAGGUGUGUGUUCCAGGUAAAUCCGGUUCACUUUAACACUGAGGCGUGACGACGAGGCACUACGGUGCUGAAGCAACAAAUGCCCUGCUUCCAGGAAAAGCCUCUAAGCAUCAGGUAACAUCAAAUCGUACCCCAAACCGACACAGGUGGUCAGGUAGAGAAUACCAAGGCGCUUGAGAGAACUCGGGUGAAGGAACUAGGCAAAAUGGUGCCGUAACUUCGGGAGAAGGCACGCUGACACGUAGGUGAAGUGAUUUACUCAUGGAGCUGAAGUCAGUCGAAGAUACCAGCUGGCUGCAACUGUUUAUUAAAAACACAGCACUGUGCAAACACGAAAGUGGACGUAUACGGUGUGACGCCUGCCCGGUGCCGGAAGGUUAAUUGAUGGGGUCAGCGCAAGCGAAGCUCCUGAUCGAAGCCCCGGUAAACGGCGGCCGUAACUAUAACGGUCCUAAGGUAGCGAAAUUCCUUGUCGGGUAAGUUCCGACCUGCACGAAUGGCGUAAUGAUGGCCAGGCUGUCUCCACCCGAGACUCAGUGAAAUUGAACUCGCUGUGAAGAUGCAGUGUACCCGCGGCAAGACGGAAAGACCCCGUGAACCUUUACUAUAGCUUGACACUGAACAUUGAGCCUUGAUGUGUAGGAUAGGUGGGAGGCUUUGAAGCGUGGACGCCAGUCUGCGUGGAGCCGACCUUGAAAUACCACCCUUUAAUGUUUGAUGUUCUAACGUGGACCCGUAA